GACGAACGCUGGCGGCGUGCUUAACACAUGCAAGUCGAACGGAAAGGCCCUGCUUUUGUGGGGUGCUCGAGUGGCGAACGGGUGAGUAACACGUGAGUAACCUGCCCUUUACUUUGGUAUAACUUCAGGAAACUGGGGCUAAUACCGGAUAGGAGCUCCUGCUGCAUGGUGGGGGUUGGAAAGUUUCGGCGGUUGGGGAUGGACUCGCGGCUUAUCAGCUUGUUGGUGGGGUAGUGGCUUACCAAGGCUUUGACGGGUAGCCGGCCUGAGAGGGUGACCGGCAACAUUGGGACUGAGAUACGGCCCAGAAUCCUACGGGAGGCAGCAGUGGGGAAUAUUGCACAAUGGGCGGAAGCCUGAUGCAGAAACGCCGCGUGCGGGAUGACGGCCUUCGGGUUGUAAACCGCUUUAGACUGUGACGAAGCGUGAGUGACGGUAAUGGGUAAAGAAGCACCGGCUAACUACGUG
This 468-nucleotide ribosomal RNA is filed under the name uncultured bacterium. Its description in RNAcentral is "partial 16S ribosomal RNA". It matches the Rfam family "Bacterial small subunit ribosomal RNA", at positions 28 to 507 of the family's 1533-position model. The record is from RNAcentral.